UUAAGCUAAUAAGAGCGCAGGGAGGAUGCCUUGGCAUCAGGAGCCGAAGAAGGACGUGGUAAGCUGCGAAAAGCUACGGGGAUUGGCAAGCACGAUAUGAUCCGUAGAUGUCCGAAUGGAGCAAUCCACAUGGAGUCAAGUCCAUGUAUCAUAUACUGAAUAAAUAGGUAUAUGAGGGGAACCGCCCGAACUGAAACAUCUAAGUAGGGCGAGGAAAAGAAAUCAACCGAGAUUCUGUGAGUAGUGGCGAGCGAAAGCGGAAGAGGCUAAACCGAGAGGAGCAAUCCUUUCGGGGUUUAGGACUGCAUUUAGUACAACGAUUGUUAACCGAACAGCAUGGGAAGGCUGAUCAAAGAAGGUGAGAAUCCUGUAGGUGAAAACGAAAGUUGACGAGCAGUAUCCAAAGUACCGCGGGGCACGUGAAAUCCCGUGGGAAGAUGGGGGGACCAUCCUCCAAGCCUAAAUACUACCUGAUGACCGAUAGCGAAAAGUACUGUGAAGGAAAGGUGAAAAGCACCCCGGGAGGGGAGUGAAAUAGAACCUGAAACCCUGUGCUUACAAGCACUUAGAGCACGUCAAAGUGUGAUAAGGUACCUAUUGUAGAAUGGUCCGGCGAGUUAUUGUAUGCAGCGAGGUUAAGUAGUUCAGCUACGGAGCCGAAGUGAGAGCGAGUGUUAACAGCACGUUCAGUUGCAUGCAAUAGACCCGAAACCGGGUGACCUAUCCAUGUCCAGGAUGAAGUGAGGGUAAAACCUCAUGGAGGUCCGAACCCACUCCCGUUGAAAUGGUAGGGGAUGAGGUGUGGAUAGCGGAGAAAUUCCAAUCGAACCCGGAUAUAGCUGGUUCUCCCCGAAAUAGUUUUAGGACUAGCCUCGUGAUUAAGAUUAUCGGAGGUAAAGCACUGAAUGGCCUAGGGGUCGAGAGAUUACCGAAGCCUAUCAAACUCUGAAUGCCGAAUAAUCAUGCACGGGAGUCAGACUGUGUGAGAUAAGUUUCAUAGUCGAAAGGGAAACAGCCCAGACCUACAGCUAAGGUCCCAAAGUACGUUUAAGUGGAAAACGAUGUGAAAUUGCGUAGACAACCAGGAUGUUGGCUUAGAAGCAGCCAUACAUUAAAAGAGUGCGUAAUAGCUCACUGGUCGAGUGACUUUGCGCGGAAAAUUUAACGGGGCUAAAACGUACACCGAAGCUUAGGCUUGUCACAAUGUGACAGGGGUAGGGGAGCGUUGAAUGAGGGGUGAAGUCGUAGCGAAAGCGACGGUGGACUUCAUUCAAGUGAGAAUGCCGGAAUGAGUAGCGAGAAUUAUGUGAGAAUCAUAAUGGCCGAAAAUCUAAGGUUUCUUGGGGAAGGUUCGUCCGCCCAAGGUAAGUCGGGAGCUAAGCUCAGGCCGAGAGGCGUAGGCGAUGCACAUACGGUAGAAAUUCCGUAACCACCGAAACUUAAACAGAGGGACACUUCGAAAUAGCGGAACCCGGGCGUUGGUUGACCCGGGCGAAAGGGAGCGAAAUUAGAGUAGCGAAGUCCGCGAUGUUCGGAGGCGAGAAAAGCUCUGAGGUAUGCUAAGGUGCCCGUACCGCAAACCGACACAGGUAGAUGAGGAGAGAAUCCUAAGGCCAACGGGAGAAGGGUUGUUAAGGAACUCGGCAAAUUGACCCCGUAACUUCGGGAGAAGGGGUGCUCCAGAGAUGGAGCCGCAGAGAAUCGGCCCAAGCAACUGUUUACCAAAAACACAGGUUUGUGCUAAAUCGAAAGAUGACGUAUACGAGCUGACGCCUGCCCGGUGCUGGAAGGUUAAGAGGAGAUGUGCAAGCAUUGAAUCGAAGCCCCAGUGAACGGCGGCCGUAACUAUAACGGUCCUAAGGUAGCGAAAUUCCUUGUCAGGUAAGUUCUGACCCGCACGAAAGGCGUAAUGAUUUGGGCGCUGUCUCGACAAUGUACUCGGCGAAAUUGUAGUACUAGUGAAGAUGCUAGUUACCUGCGACAAGACAGAAAGACCCCAUGGAGCUUUACUGUAGCUUGAUACUGGGUUUCGAUAAUUUAUGUACAGGAUAGGUGGGAGGCGAAGAAGCAAUUGCGCCAGCAGUUGUGGAGUCAUCCUUGGGAUACCACCCUUAAGUUAUUGAAAUUCUAACCUGUAGUCCUGAGCGGGCUAGGGGACAAUGUCAGGCGGGCAGUUUGACUGGGGCGGUCGCCUCCAAAAGAGUAACGGAGGCGCGCAAAGGUUUCCUCAGCGCGGACAGAAAUCGCGCGAAAGAGUGCAAAGGCAGAAGGAAGCUUAACUGAGAGACAGACAUGUCGACCAGAUACGAAAGUAGGUCUUAGUGAUCCGGUGGUUGUAAGUGGAAAUGCCAUCGCUCAACGGACAAAAGUUACCCUGGGGAUAACAGGCUUAUCUCCCCCAAGAGUUCACAUCGACGGGGAGGUUUGGCACCUCGAUGUCGGCUCAUCGCAUCCUGGGGCUGUAUUCGGUCCCAAGGGUUUGGCUGUUCGCCAAUUAAAGCGGCACGCGAGCUGGGUUCAGAACGUCGUGAGACAGUUCGGUCCCUAUCCGUCGCGGGCGUAGGAAAUUUGAGAGGAUCUGCUCCUAGUACGAGAGGACCAGAGUGGACUUACCGCUGGUGUACCAGUUGUUCUGCCAAGAGCAUCGCUGGGUAGCUAUGUAGGGAAGGGAUAAACGCUGAAAGCAUCUAAGUGUGAAGCCCACCUCAAGAUGAGAUUUCCCAUGAUUUUAUAUCAGUAAGAGCCCUGAGAGAUGAUCAGGUUGAUAGGUUAGAAGUGGAAGUGUGGUGACACAUGUAGCGGACUAAUACUAAUAGCUCGAGGACUUAUCCAA
RNAcentral lists this ribosomal RNA (2833 nucleotides) under metagenome. RNAcentral's name for it is "bacterial LSU rRNA". It matches the Rfam family "Bacterial large subunit ribosomal RNA". The record is from RNAcentral.